AAUAAAUAUGAGUGGGUGGAGCUACAUGUGAAGACAUCAGAGACAAAUACACAACACUAGCAUUUAUUUCUAAAGCUAGAGGUCUGAAGAAAACACUCAGGCUAACAAUGGUACGGCUCUUCUUGUUUUUCUUCACUAUUGCUGAUAUUGCAGAGGCUGCUGACAACAGCAUUACACCAGAUCAAACCAGCAUGUCUGUAAUUGAAGGCAGCAACAUCACACUUUCCUGCACAUAUACUGGAUCUGUUUACAGUCUCCACUGGUAUCGACAACAACCUGGAUCAAGACCAGAGUUUCUGCUUCUGAUUGAUGAAACCAGUGAACAUGUCACACAGGCUCAACCACCUCAUCCACAACUGUCAACAAAACUUGAUAAAAAGAAUACGAAAGUGGAUCUGCUCAUCUCCUCUGUUACAGUGACAGACUCUGCACUGUACUACUGCGCUCUGAUGCCCACAGUGACAGGAAACCCAACUACACUGUACAAAAAGUACUACACCUGUCUGGAGUCAGGCUUUUCUCACAAGAUGGAGCUAUUUACAUCUUUACCCCUUUCAUGCUCAAGCAACUGUCCAUGAUGUCAGUUCGCUUUUGAAGCUCAACCACUAUUUGUGUAAUCUGCUAAUGUUUAUUUCUGAGUUAAUCAUCCUUACCAUUGGCAUCUUAAAAUGCUAAUAACUGGUUAAAAAUACACCUGUUUAUUUAAUUAACAAUAGCUUUGUGGAAAAUAAAUUCAUGACCCACCCAGUGUGUAUUCCAGCUUCUUGCCCAGUGUUCCUUGGAUAGGCUUGAAAUCCACUGUGACCCUGACCAUGAUAAUGUGCCCACUAAAGAUGAAUAAAUGUAUGUGCGUAGGCAUAUAGAGACAGUUAUGUACAGGCUCUGUUUUUGUGAAAUUAUGU
Ictalurus punctatus (channel catfish) is the source of this 902-nucleotide non-coding RNA. NCBI's taxonomy places the organism in Eukaryota, Metazoa, Chordata, Actinopteri, Siluriformes, Ictaluridae. The record is from the annotation of a RefSeq genome assembly.